Molecule: ribosomal RNA, 253 nt
Filed under: uncultured bacterium
Lineage: Bacteria
Description: partial 16S ribosomal RNA
Rfam family: Bacterial small subunit ribosomal RNA
Source: RNAcentral
UACGAAGGGUGCAAGCGUUGUUCGGAAUAACUGGGCGUAAAGAGCGCGUAGGCGGGUAUGUAAGUUAUCUGUGAAAGCCCCGGGCUUAACCUGGGAAUUGCAGGUAAAACUGCAUAUCUUGAAUACUGCAGGGGAUGGUGGAAUUGCUGGUGGAGAAGUGAAAUUUAUAGAGAUCAGCAGGAACACCUGAGGCGAAGGCGGCCAUCUGGGCAUGUAUUGACGCUGUGGCGCGAAAGCGUGGGUAGCAAACAGG